UUUCAAGCACGUUUUUUUAAUGAAAAUGAUAUUCUUUUUUCUAACUCAGUUAACACAAAUGCAAGUAAUUGGCCUUGUAAAACCAACGAAAUGUGACUCUGUGGUUUGUGGCCAAUCCUAGAUGAGCCACACAGCAAUACCCCACCCCAUAACCAUCAAUUUUCUUCCUUAUUACUGAAACAUUGCGCCAGGUAGUUAAGUAAAACCAAUCGUAUCAGUACACAGGGUUCAUACGAAGGACAACGACUAAAAAAUGUGGCCAGCGUUUGUCACAUCUAGCGGAUCUCUCCAUUGUCAUUACCCUUCCGCCGUCUCAUGCCUGCACUUUUAAGCAUAAUCUACUCUUGAUCCUCCAUCAGUUCCUUCGUUCGAUUGUGACAUUGUCUCCAAGAUAUAAUAUACAUACACGUCACAGAAUUCACGUCGACAAUGACAGGCUAGUAAGUUUAUACCCUCCCAGAGUAAGAUGCCUGAUGCGCUUGAUCCUCUCUUGUCGGUAUUUAUAAUGUGUACAGCUUCUAACCUGUAAAAAAGUCACAUGAAAGUUAAUAUCUUCCUAAUGUUAAUAUGACCCUCCAGUUGUUCCAGUGGCCUCAAAAACUAUUAGAUCAAUCAACGAGAUAAUAAUAAUAUAAAAUAAUUGAGGAAACAAAAUAUGGUUUUGGCUGUUUAAUGGCAAAUAAUGGUGAAGCUUUUCCCGCAAAAGAAAAAUGGUGAAGCAACAGUUACCGAUGUUGACAGAAAAGAAAUUGACCUCUCCUAUUCCAUUCCCUCAUGCUUAAAUCAGCGCUCUCCUCUCUUCGAGUACAUUCCCAACACCAG
Molecule: long non-coding RNA, 822 nt
Filed under: Triticum aestivum (bread wheat)
Lineage: Eukaryota; Viridiplantae; Streptophyta; Magnoliopsida; Poales; Poaceae
Description: long non-coding RNA (TAES_LNC020912)
Source: RNAcentral